Molecule: ribosomal RNA, 341 nt
Filed under: uncultured bacterium
Lineage: Bacteria
Description: bacterial SSU rRNA
Rfam family: Bacterial small subunit ribosomal RNA
Source: RNAcentral
AGAGUUUGAUUCUGGCUCAGGACGAACGCUGGCGGCGUGCUUAACACAUGCAAGUCGAACGGGAACCUUUAUUUCGGUAAAGGUGAGAGUGGCAAACGGGUGAGUAACACGUAGGCAACCUGCCGACAGGAUGGGGACAACAUUCCGAAAGGAAUGCUAAUACCGAAUGAAGUCACCGGAGGGCAUCCUCUGGUGAUGAAAGAUGGCCUCUGAAUAUGCUAUCACCUGUCGAUGGGCCUGCGUCUGAUUAGCCAGUUGGCGGGGUAACGGCCCACCAAAGCGACGAUCAGUAGCCGGUCUGAGAGGAUGAACGGCCACAUUGGGACUGAGACACGGCCCAG